AGAGUUUGAUCAUGGCUCAGAUUCAACGCUGGCGGUAUGCUUAACACAUGCAAGUCGAACGGUAACAGUCCCUCACCUAGAAAUUUCUUAAAAAGAGAUUUGUAGGUGAGGGAACUGACGAGUGGCGGACGGGUGCGUAAUGUAUAGGAAUCUGCCUAGUAGUGGGGGACAACUCGGAGAAAUUCGAGCUAAUACCGCAUAAGCCCUACGGGGGAAAACGGGGGAUCUUCGGACCUCGUGCUAUUAGAUGAGCCUAUAUUAGAUUAGCUUGUUGGUGAGGUAAUGGCUCACCAAGGCGACGAUCUAUAGCUGGUCUGAGAGGAUGAUCAGCCACACUGGGACUGAGACACGGCCCAGACUCCUACGGGAGGCAGCAGUGGGGAAUAUUGGACAAUGGGCGAAAGCCUGAUCCAGCAAUACCGCGUGUGUGAAGAAGGCCUGAGGGUUGUAAAGCACUUUCAAUUGGGAGGAAUACCUAAUAGUUAAUAGCUAUUAGAUUGACA
RNAcentral lists this ribosomal RNA (503 nucleotides) under uncultured bacterium. Its description in RNAcentral is "bacterial SSU rRNA". It matches the Rfam family "Bacterial small subunit ribosomal RNA", at positions 8 to 474 of the family's 1533-position model. The record is from RNAcentral.